AACUGUGCGUACUGGGAGUGGGGAUAUGUUCAACUGUAAAAUCACAACAACACAUCGCAAUUGGGGUGUAUGUGAAGAGGACUCUCUUCAAUGACCACUAGUUAUAGAAAAGGUUUGAAAUAAUCUACACCAAUAUUUUACCAGAUUAACUGAAAAGUGAAUCAUACUGAAACAAUAUUGAUGGGGAAAUGCAUUUGGGAUAAGUUUUGCGCAAUGGUCGAGCAAGCGUCUUGGUCUGCAGACGUCAACACAUUUAGUGUGACAGUUUCACGAGCUGAUAUUUUUCGUUUUGAUUUGCCUCUAGAAUGUUGUAAUUUAAUAGUCUGACAUUUAUGGCAGAAAUGUGUUGUGGAUCAGCAGGGAUACUGUGCCGGCAAAGUGUGAAAAAUGUAUUCAGUUGAUUUUUAUGAGUUUUGUUAUGUACCACAUUCUCCAUUUUAACUACGUCUUCAGCCAAGAACAACGACAUUUAUCUCAUCAACACUAAAAUAUCUGCCGGUAUCCCGCAUGCUGUACUGUUGUGGAAGCAAGGACAAGGAGAAGCAGCGCUCGGACGCUGCUGAGGUGUCGAGAAUUCUAGAGACAGAGAAAAACCGAAAGAACCGUGAAAGCGCACCUCAACCACUGGAAAUGUACGGAAUAGCGGGAAUACCCGAGUUUCUACCCCCCUCUGGCGUACUCCAGCCCAGCUCAGUAAUCCCACUCGAGUAUGGUGAGGUGCCUGGUUUGGGGAGUCGAUUCAACAGGGGUGUGCUGAGCUUUGACUCCCCCCAGCGGAGACGAGGCCAACGGGCCCCGAAGCUAGGGCAAAUAGGACGUUCGAAGAGAGUGGUGAUAGAGGAUGAGGACUUGGAUGACGUCAUGAACAACAAUGGCCUCCCCAUAUCAAUCAAUAUCUAUCCUGUUGCCUAAACACUUCAGACUGUCCAGACCUCAAGAAGCUAUCGUGCACAUUUGUGAAAUUCUGAGGCGAGUACCACUUGUUCUGGACCAUACCCAGUUCAGGUGCCCAUUGCAAAGUUUACAAUAGCAGCAUGCGCAUCACCAGUAGUUUAGCUCUUCCCGGAGGGAAGGUGGGUGUCCCAAGGAAAUAGAGAGAACAUGGUGCACCUCUGCUGCUGUUCUGGUUUUGAACGGGAGGGGAGCAAGUUGGAUAGAUUUGGAGCCGGACAGUCUGAAACAUAAGCACACACGAGAAGGCCCUACCCAUCAAGACCUGCCCCUUUAAAAUGAGUUGACCUAUGCUUUUUCAUUGUUUCACAUAUUCUUUUGACAAAUACACUUUAUUCUAGCCUUUGAUGGUCGACAACACUGUCUCGUUUUGGUGCAAGUGAAGUGUCUGUAAAAUCUGUUCUAAAACAUGAUAGAUAGAUACACUGAUACACUUUCAUUUGUCAUGCACGUCCUAAUUAGAAGCUUAGUAAUCCUAUACCCUGCCUAUGUUGUAAUGUAUUUCAUUUUUACCCUUGAGUUACUAGACAAAGGAGUUCUCACUGUGAACUAGUGAACUUCUAUGUAUCCCUGAAUAGAGGUGUAAAAGACAAUUUUCUUUUAUUUUUUUAAUUAGCUUCUUGUCCAAUGUCCUUCACCAAUCACCAUAAUAAUCUAAUCUGGUCUAAAAAAAAAAUCGUAUGACAUUCAGACAAGUUGCCUACCUCUGCUCUUGGAGUAUGGAGUAUCAUUCAUUUUGGUGGUUCAUGUAAAACACAGUUACGAUGAAGUAGAUCGCAACAUGGAGGAGAAAUGUGGUAUUUGGUGCAUGACUGACCGAGCUGUGAGAAAUACAUUGUUUUGAUAUGGAACCAUUGGUCAGUUUGGCUCAGACUUUUUCCCUCUAGCUGUAAAGUUAUACAAUUAUAUCACUAAAAGGGUUAGGCCUACUUCAACUCCAGUUACAGUAAUUCAAUUAUCAGUAAAACAAAAAUAAAUGAUAUGCUUGGACUGAUACUAAAGUGAGUGUGUGUUUUUGUACUCUUUGCAUGAAAGAGUCUGAUAAGUGGCAUGUGUUAUUGUAAAACCUUGAUUAUACUUCUUGGAAUGUGAUAUGCUGUUGUACAGUGAUAGUACCAGCAGAUGGAGAUAAAGUCCAAGGAACACAGUGCUCUGCCUGGAACUUUUGUCUCACUCAACGAGUACAGACUUGUAAUUCAUUUGGAAUAAAAACCUGUUUGGGUAGUCUUUGAAAUGAACCUAUUUUUGGAAAAUAAGAUCACUGUUGAAGACAAUGAGACCAUUUUUGGUUUGAGGAGAAGUGUUAUUUUGGCAAAAUGUAGAUCUGAGAGAACUUUGUGGAUGUAUCCUCCCCUACUUAUUUAUUUGGACAGUGAAGCUAAAACAUUUAACUUGGCUCCAUAUUCCAGCAUUUUGGUUUUGAGAUCAAAUGUUUCAAAUGAGGCGACAGAACAGAAUGUCACCUCUUAUUUGAGGGUAUUUCAAAUCAAAGUUUAUUGGUUGCAUACACAGAUUUGCAGCUGUUAUGGCAGCAGGUAAACUAGUGGUUAGAGCGUUAGGCCAGUAACCGAAGGUCGCUAGUUUGAAUACCCAAGCCGACAACAUGAAAAAACAUUUUGAUGUGCCCUUGAUCAAGGCACUUCAUCCUAAUUUGCUCCAGGGGCGCCGUACUACCAAGGCUAACCCGAGAAUACAGUAUAUACUUAAACAGUGAGUAAACAACAGAAUAUGAGGUGACCCGUGUUCAAUGACUCUGUAAAUGGGGAAUUAGUCUCAAGGUGCAGGGCAGAGUACCGGGCAGGCAGCCGGCUAGUGAUGGCUGUUCAACAGUGAUGACAUGGAGAUAAACUGCUUCUUUCAGUCUCUCGGUCUCUGCUAGAAGGGUGACUGAGGUCCUUGAUGAUGUUAUUGGCCUUCCUUUGACACCAAGUGCAGUGUGCACCCGGUGAUGCGUGCCCCCCAUGAUGCAUUUUGUCAUAUAUACACUAUGUGACCAAAAGUACAUGGACACUGCUCUGAAAAUAUCUCGUUCCAAAAUCAACGGCAUUAACAUGGAGUUGGUCUCCCCUUUGCUGCUAUAACAGCCUCCACUCUUCUGGGAAGGCUUUCCACUAGAUGUUGGAACAUUGCUGCGGGGACUUGCUUCCAUUCAGACACAAGAGCAUUAGUGAGGUUGGGCACUAAUGUUGGGCGAUUCGGCCUGGCUUGCAGUCGGCGUUCCAAUUCAUCACAAAGGUGUUUGAUAGGGUUAAGUUCUUCCACGCCGAUUUCAACAAACCAUUUCUGUAUGGACCUCGCUUUGUGCAUGGGGGCAUUGUCAUGCUGAAACUGGAGGGGCCUAGCCCGAACCAUGAGAAACAGCCCCUGAUCUUCAGUCCUCUUCCACCAAACUUUACAGUUGGCACUAUGCACUGGGGCAGGUAGUGUUCUUCAUGCGUCCAUUGGACUGCCAGAUGGUGAAGCGUGAUUCAUCAGUCUAGAGAACGUGUUUCCACUGCUCCAGAAUCCAAUGGAGGCGAGCUUUACACCACUCCAGCUGAUGCUUGGCAUUGCCAUUGGUGAUCUUAAGCUUGUGUGUGGUUGAUCGGCCAUAGAAACCCAUUUCUUGAUUUGUUGUAAAGGUGGCAUCCUAUGACGGUGCCACGUUGAAAGUCAGGGCUCUUCAGUAAGGACAUUCUACUGCCAAUGUUUGUCUAUGGCAAUUGCAUGGUUGUGCGCUCAAUUUUAUAUACCUGUCAGCAACGGGUGUGGCUGAAAUAGACGAAUCCACUAAUUUGAAGGGGUGUCUAGAUACUUUUGGAUAUAGUGUAUCCGUUUACAAAUCAAGCACUUUAUUUAUCUAGUCCUCCCAUCUGAAGGUGUCAUAAAUAUUUGGACAAAUUCCAAAUACUAUAAAGUAGUCAAAUGUUUAGUAUUGGGUUCCAUAUUCUUAGCACACAAUGACUAUAUCAAGCUUUGAAGUUUGUUUUGGUUGCGUUUCAGAUUGUGCUCAAUAGAAACUAAUGGUAAACAAUUGUAUUUUGUCAUUUUGGAGUCACUUUUAUUAAAAGAAUAGGUUUCUGAACACUUCUCCAUUAAUGUGGAUACUACCAUGAUACAGAUAAUGAAUGAAUCGUGAAUAAUGAGAAAGUCUGAGGAACUAGAAAAAGGGACUCCAAAAUGACAAUACAUUAUUUACCAUUCAUUUCUAUUUGACACAAUCUGAAACACAACCGAAACAAACUGCAGAUGCAUCCAAGUUCGUAGUCACAAGCGUGACAUAGUGCUAGGAACAAUGGGACCAAGUAAACAUUUGACUACUUUAAUACAAAUACAUUUGUUCAAAAACGUAUGACACCUUCAAAUAUGGGGGAUUAUAUACACAGUGCCUUCAUUUCUAAACAGUAAAACAUAUGAAAAUACUCUAAAAUAAAAAGGUGACAUUCUGUACUGUCACCUCAUGAAACAUUUGAUCUCAAAUCCAAAAUGCUGGAGUAUAGAGCAAAAUGAAUAUUUUAUCUUCACAGUCUAAAUAAAUACAUAUGGGAGUGUACAAUAUGUUAUGGAAACUUGCCUUGCAAAGGGUGAGUUACAGCCAAACUGCAUACAAUUCUGUUGGAUCAAGAAGUGCCUAAGGAAUAGGUUCAGGAUUGAUUUUGGACAAGACAUGUAUAUUUUUGCCUCUCUUAUAUCCAAUGGCUUGGUAUUUUGUGAAAGUUUUAUAAGGACAGAAUGACUUUGUGGUAAAGCUCAGAAGAUCUCACAAGACAACACUGCAAUUCAGUUAUGAAAACUUAGGACACGAAAGAGGCCUUUCUUCUGACUCUGAAAAACACCAAAAGAAAGAUGCCCCGGGUCCCUGCUCAUUUGCAUGAAUGUGCCUUAGGCAUGCUGCAAGGAGGCAUGAGAACUGCAGAUGUGUCCAUACUGUGAGACACCUAAGACUACAGGGAGACAGGACGGACAGCUGAUGAUCGUCCUCGCAGUGGCAGAACACGUGUAACAACACCUGCACAGGAUCGGUACAUCUGAACAUCACACCUGCGGGACAGGUACAGGAUGGCAACAACAACUGCCUGAGUUACACCAGGAAUGCACAAUCCCUCCAUCAGUGCUCAGACUGUGUGCAAUAGGCUGAGAGAGGCUGAACUGAGGGCUUGUAGUAGGCCUGUUGUAAGACAGGUCCUCACCAGACAUCACCGGCAACAACGUCGCCUAUGGGCACAAACCCACCAUCGCUGGACCAGACAGGACUGGCAAAAAGUGCUCUUCACUGACGAGUCGCGGUUUGGUCUCACCAGGGGUGAUGGUCAGAUUCGUGUUUAUCGUUGAAGGAAUGACCGUUACAUCGUGGCCUGUACUCUGGAUCGAUUUGGAGGGUCCAUCAUGGUCUGGGGCGGUGUGUCACAUCGGACUGAGCUUGUCAUUGCAGGCAAUCUCAAUGCUGUGCGUUACAGGGAAGACAUCCUUCUCCCUCAUGUGGUACCCUUCCUGCUGGCUCAUCCUGACAUGACCCUCCAGCAUGAUAAUGCCACUAGCCAUGCUGCUCAUUUUGUGAGUGAUUUCCUGAAUGACAGUAAUGUCAGUGUUCUGCCAUGGUCAGCAAAUAGCCUGGAUUUCAAUCCCAUUGAGCACGUCUGGGACCUGUUGGAUCAGAGGCUGAGGGCUAGGGCCAUUACCCCCAGAAAUGUCUGGGAACUUGCAGGUGCCUUGGUGGAGGAAUGGGGUAACAUCUCACAAGAACUGGCAAAUCUGGUGCGGUUCAUGAAGAGGAGAUGCACUGCAGUACUUAAUGCAGCUGGUGGCCACACCAGAUUACUUUUGAUUUUGACCCCUCCCCAUACAAAUAUUUACACAUUAAGUAUGCAGAAAAUAAACAGUUGACAAUGAUGUUUCAUUUUUUGAGUUUAUAUUACUGGUCAUCCCCAAAGCCAACAUCUUUGGCUGCCUUUCCUUCCAGUUAUCUGCUGCCUAUGACUGGAACGAAUUGCAAAAAUACCUGAAGUUGGACUUAUCUCCCUCACCAACUUUAAGCAUCAGCUGUUAAGAGCAGCUUACUGAUCACUGAAGCUGUACACAGACUGUAAAUACCCAGUGCAACCAACUACCUACCUCAUCCAUGUUUUUCCUGCUCUUUUGUACACAAGUAUUUGUACAUCCUCAUCUGCACAUAUCACACCAGUGUAAAUUGUAAUUACAUUACCACUAUUGGCCUAUUUAUUGCCUUAACUCAUUUGCACACACACUAUAUACAGAUUGUUCUAUUGUGUGUUAUUGGCUGUACUUUGUUUAUCCCAUGUGUACCUCGGUUGUUGUCACAUUACAUUUAAGUCAUUUAGCAGAUGCUCUUAUCCAGAGCGACUUACAAAUUGGACACUGCUUUGCUUUAUCUUGGCCAGGCUGCGGUUGUAAAUGAGAACUUGUUCGCAACUGACCUACCUGGUUAAAUAAAA
Oncorhynchus keta (chum salmon) is the source of this 6383-nucleotide long non-coding RNA. RefSeq lists it as uncharacterized. The record is from RefSeq and is a predicted model, not a curated record. The transcript has 2 exons. NCBI's taxonomy places the organism in Eukaryota, Metazoa, Chordata, Actinopteri, Salmoniformes, Salmonidae.